Ceratina calcarata is the source of this 301-nucleotide long non-coding RNA. RefSeq lists it as uncharacterized. The transcript is spliced from 4 exons. NCBI's taxonomy places the organism in Eukaryota, Metazoa, Arthropoda, Insecta, Hymenoptera, Apidae. The record is from RefSeq and is a predicted model, not a curated record.
CUUCGCAACAGCCGCAUCUACAGCUCUCGACCCCGUUGCGUUGCGCUUUCGCCAGCCAGCCAGCCUGUCGCUCCGAGCUUUGUCGGGGACGUAUCUAUCCUCCGAGGUCGUAAUGGCAAUCGAACCAAGACGACACGGUGCGCUGUGCAACGUGGAAGGAUUAUUAAUAACCAGAGUAAACGAUCGGACGUGACGUCACUCGGUUCGAACGCCGGGAGUAGAGGAACGCUUUGGCAAAGUUCCACUCGUAUCCGGGCGGUUGUCGGUCUGUCACCGGGUCGCUGGAAGAACUUGCAACGUA